This 248-nucleotide ribosomal RNA is filed under the name uncultured bacterium. Its description in RNAcentral is "partial 16S ribosomal RNA". It matches the Rfam family "Bacterial small subunit ribosomal RNA", at positions 333 to 578 of the family's 1533-position model. The record is from RNAcentral.
CGUUUCCUACGGGACGCAGCAGUGAGGAAUAUUGGUCAAUGGGCGAGAGCCUGAACCAGCCACGUCGCGUGAGGGAAGACGGUCCUAUGGAUUGUAAACCUCUUUUGCCGGGGAGCAAAAAGCGGUACGUGUACCGCAUCGAGAGUACUCGGAGAAAAAGCAUCGGCUAACUCCGUGCCAGCAGCCGCGGUAAUACGGAGGAUGCGAGCGUUAUCCGGAUUUAUUGGGUUUAAAGGGUGCGCAGGCGG